Molecule: ribosomal RNA, 453 nt
Filed under: uncultured bacterium
Lineage: Bacteria
Description: bacterial SSU rRNA
Rfam family: Bacterial small subunit ribosomal RNA
Source: RNAcentral
GAUUGUCCCAGCCGCCGCGGUAAUACGGAGGGUGCAAGCGUUAAUCGGAAUAACUGGGCGUAAAGCGCACGCAGGCGGUUAGAUAAGUCAGAUGUGAAAGCCCCGGGCUCAACCUGGGAACUGCAUUUGAAACUGUCUGACUAGAGUCUUGUAGAGGGGGGUAGAAUUCCAGGUGUAGCGGUGAAAUGCGUAGAGAUCUGGAGGAAUACCGGUGGCGAAGGCGGCCCCCUGGACAAAGACUGACGCUCAGGUGCGAAAGCGUGGGGAGCAAACAGGAUUAGAUACCCUGGUAGUCCACGCUGUAAACGAUGUCGAUUUGGAGUUUGUGCCAUUAUGAGCGUGGGUUCCGAAGCUAACGCGAUAAAUCGACCGCCUGGGGAGUACGGCCGCAAGGUUAAAACUCAAAUGAAUUGACGGGGGCCCGCACAAGCGGUGGAGCAUGUGGUUUAAUUC